RNAcentral lists this ribosomal RNA (464 nucleotides) under uncultured bacterium. RNAcentral describes it as "partial 16S ribosomal RNA". It matches the Rfam family "Bacterial small subunit ribosomal RNA", at positions 339 to 795 of the family's 1533-position model. The record is from RNAcentral.
CUACGGGUUGCUCCAGUGGGGAAUAUUGCACAAUGGGCGCAAGCCUGAUGCAGCCAUGCCGCGUGUAUGAAGAAGGCCUUCGGGUUGUAAAGUACUUUCAGCGGGGAGGAAGGGAGUAAAGUUAAUACCUUUGCUCAUUGACGUUACCCGCAGAAGAAGCACCGGCUAACUCCGUGCCAGCAGCCGCGGUAAUACGGAGGGUGCAAGCGUUAAUCGGAAUUACUGGGCGUAAAGCGCACGCAGGCGGUCUGUUAAGUCAGAUGUGAAAUCCCCGGGCUCAACCUGGGAACUGCAUCUGAUACUGGCAAGCUUGAGUCUCGUAGAGGGGGGUAGAAUUCCAGGUGUAGCGGUGAAAUGCGUAGAGAUCUGGAGGAAUACCGGUGGCGAAGGCGGCCCCCUGGACGAAGACUGACGCUCAGGUGCGAAAGCGUGGGGAGCAAACAGGAUUAGAUACCCCCGUAGUC